This 469-nucleotide ribosomal RNA is filed under the name uncultured bacterium. RNAcentral describes it as "partial 16S ribosomal RNA". It matches the Rfam family "Bacterial small subunit ribosomal RNA", at positions 28 to 507 of the family's 1533-position model. The record is from RNAcentral.
GACGAACGCUGGCGGCGUGCUUAACACAUGCAAGUCGAACGGAAAGGCCCUGCUUGCAGGGUGCUCGAGUGGCGAACGGUUGAGUAACACGUGGGUGAUCUGCCCCUUACUUUGGGAUAAGCCUGGGAAACUGGGUCUAAUACUGGAUAGGACCAUGCUGUAGGUGGUGUGGUGGAAAGAUUAGUUUCGGUAAGGGAUGAGCUCGCGGCCUAUCAGCUUGUUGGUGGGGUAAUGGCCUACCAAGGCGUCGACGGGUAGCCGGCCUGAGAGGGUGGACGGCCACAUUGGGACUGAGAUACGGCCCAGACUCCUACGGGAGGCAGCAGUGGGGAAUAUUGCACAAUGGGCGCAAGCCUGAUGCAGCGACGCCGCGUGGGGGAUGACGGCCUUCGGGUUGUAAACUCCUUUCAGCCAUGACGAAGCCCUUGUGGUGACGGUAGUGGUAGAAGAAGCACCGGCUAACUACGUG